This 311-nucleotide long non-coding RNA is filed under the name Mustela putorius furo (domestic ferret). RNAcentral's name for it is "lncRNA (ENSMPUG00000031357.1)". Lineage: Eukaryota; Metazoa; Chordata; Mammalia; Carnivora; Mustelidae. The record is from RNAcentral.
UUGACCCACCUUGCCUUCUUCCUUCUGCGGCACAGUUUAAAGUAAUCUUUCAUCCAUUGGUACAGGGAUUGCUGGCUAUUCCUGACAAGUGGUGACCCCGCUGUGAUCAUCUUGCCACAGACCACUGAAUGGACCACCUGAAAAUGAAAAGUUUGGGCACAGAGUACAGCAAGGUAGAAAGCACUGAAUUAGGAAUUCCAGGAGCUGAGUUGUAGACCCCCUUCUUCAUUUGUUUCCCUGCCUUGGGAUCUAGGUAAGCAGUGCAACUUCUGUCACCUUGUAAAAGCAGAGAAAAUAAUAACUGCCUUGCU